Molecule: ribosomal RNA, 253 nt
Filed under: uncultured bacterium
Lineage: Bacteria
Description: partial 16S ribosomal RNA
Rfam family: Bacterial small subunit ribosomal RNA
Source: RNAcentral
UACAGAGGGUGCAAGCGUUGUUCGGAAUUAUUGGGCGUAAAGGGUGCGUAGGCGGUUUGGUAAGUCUUAUGUGAAAUCUAUGGGCUCAACUCAUAGUCUGCAUGAGAAACUGCCGGGCUUGAGUAUGGGAGAGGUGAGUGGAAUUCCUGGUGUAGCGGUGAAAUGCGUAGAUAUCAGGAGGAACACCUGUGGCGAAAGCGGCUCACUGGACCAUAACUGACACUCAUACACGAAAGCGUGGGGAUCAAACAGG